This 254-nucleotide ribosomal RNA is filed under the name uncultured bacterium. RNAcentral's name for it is "partial 16S ribosomal RNA". It matches the Rfam family "Archaeal small subunit ribosomal RNA", at positions 474 to 727 of the family's 1478-position model. The record is from RNAcentral.
UACCAGCACCCCGAGUGGUCGGGACGUUUUAUUGGGCCUAAAGCAUCCGUAGCCGGUUCUACAAGUCUUCCGUUAAAUCCACCUGCUUAACAGAUGGGCUGCGGAAGAUACUAUGGAGCUAGGAGGCGGGAGAGGCAAGCGGUACUCGAUGGGUAGGGGUAAAAUCCGUUGAUCCAUUGAAGACCGCCAGUGGCGAAGGCGGCUUGCCAGAACGCGCUCGACGGUGAGGGAUGAAAGCUGGGGGAGCAAACCGG